AUCAAAUUAACAUGAUUCUUGGAGUGAACGGCUUGUAGAUUUUGAUCUGCUGCUUCUUUGGCAUUCAAAACAACACACCUUUGAGGAAUGUUGUUGGCAACGAGUUUGCUCCAAAUGGCCUUGAUGCGAUUGGGGUUCUCGGGAUGAUAAUCAUCAUCAGGAGUGUGAUGCUUACACAUCCGCUCAUCGUACAAAAUCCCCACGAGCC
RNAcentral lists this unclassified non-coding RNA (208 nucleotides) under Hevea brasiliensis (rubber tree). Lineage: Eukaryota; Viridiplantae; Streptophyta; Magnoliopsida; Malpighiales; Euphorbiaceae. The record is from RNAcentral.